Molecule: long non-coding RNA, 276 nt
Filed under: Lathyrus oleraceus (garden pea)
Lineage: Eukaryota; Viridiplantae; Streptophyta; Magnoliopsida; Fabales; Fabaceae
Description: Pisum sativum (pea) long non-coding RNA (PSAT_LNC024950)
Source: RNAcentral
GAUACUCAGGUUGAAGAUUGUGAAUCUCAGGUUACAGAUUGAAGAUUGAAAAACUCGUGAAUCUCAGGUAGCAGAUUGAAGAAUCAAAUUGUAGAAUGAAAAAGAUGAAUUGCAUAAUGAAGAAACAAAUUGCAGCAGAAUGAAAGAUUUCUUAUGCAGAAUGAAGAAAACCAUAUGCAGAAUGAAAAAAAACUCUGAUGCAGAAUGAAGAAUUUUAGAUGCAGAAUGAAAAAUCUCUGAUGCAGAAUGAAGAAUUUUAGAUGCGGAAUAAAAAAU